AGUAACGGCGAGUGAAGAGGGAAAAGCUCAAAUUUAGAAUCUGGCAGUCUUUGAUUGUCCGAGUUGUAAUUUAGAGAAGUGUUACCCGUGCUGGCCCGUGUAUAAGUCUCCUGGGAUGGAGCGUCAUAGAGGGUGAGAAUCCCGUCUUUGACACGGACUCCAGUACAUUGUGGUGCGCUCUCGAAGAGUCGAGUUGUUUGGG
RNAcentral lists this ribosomal RNA (202 nucleotides) under Collybiopsis melanopus. RNAcentral's name for it is "Gymnopus melanopus partial large subunit ribosomal RNA". It matches the Rfam family "Eukaryotic large subunit ribosomal RNA", at positions 82 to 278 of the family's 3401-position model. The record is from RNAcentral. Lineage: Eukaryota; Fungi; Basidiomycota; Agaricomycetes; Agaricales; Omphalotaceae.